Ruditapes philippinarum (Manila clam) is the source of this 1171-nucleotide long non-coding RNA. RefSeq lists it as uncharacterized. NCBI's taxonomy places the organism in Eukaryota, Metazoa, Mollusca, Bivalvia, Venerida, Veneridae. The record is from RefSeq and is a predicted model, not a curated record. The transcript is spliced from 5 exons.
UGAAGAACACACCAACAUACCGUGGUACACACACAUAGCGAGGUAAUUUUCCCAUGACCUCGGUAUGUAAACCUCGCCAAACGCGUAGAAAUACUAUCAGGGUCAUUCUGUGAAAAUUCUAGGUAAACCUCGGAAUAUCGAUGUACUACCGAUGUGUGUGGUCGGAAUGUGUAACACACACCCGCCAGUGAAAUUCGAUUUUUGUUUUCCCGACCCGUGAAACGGGGGUUACACACGCGCAUGCGCAAAUAUCCUAUUUGCGCAUGCGCAUGUAACCCCCGUUUCAUAUCCGGAUUGUAACAAAAUGGCUGACGCUAGACGUGCCAGAACACUUCAGCGAGGCCGGGACUGUUGCGACAGAAAUAAAUAGAAGAAAAGGGUAUUCCUUUUAGUUUACAAAGGGGAAAUCAUUAAAGCUAGUGAAGGGAUCAACAGAGAAAAGGAACUUUCAACAGGAUUAGGGUUCUUCUUGAAAUCCAACGUGAAAAUCUUAUGGUAUUCUUAAUCCAUGGGGGGAAAAAUGACGUUGACAAUUGCAUCAAUUAAAAGAUAAUGAGGCUUUUCAAGUUGGAACACAUAUCUUAAAAUCGACAUAUAAGGUCGAGGGACAGAAAGCUCGACUCCCUCCUUGGACUGUAAACUACAACUUAUUGGAUUGGUGCCUAUGUUUUGUGUAACUAUGGACUUAAACACAUAAUGUUUCAAUUCAAAGCAUCCAUCUUUGACCAAGCUCAGUGGUCACCCCAAUGGAACUAUCUGUCAAAGAGAAGAAGCAAGCCACACAAAUCCAGCGACUCUGAUGUACAGGACCAGCUUCUACAUGAUAUUUUUAAAGCAAAUAUUUCCUUGCGGUGUGAACUGAAAUGAUGAACUGUAUCAAUGCAAUUCACAGAUAAAAGUGUCUCAGUGAAUUAUCAUGGAAGAAAAUAAAAACACUGUACUUAACUGGAUUAUGACUGAAAGUAUAAAUCAAAACUCUUCAAAAAUGUGGCCAAGGUCAAAAAAUUAUGGAUUACAAGGUUAAUUUUAUUUGAAAAUGAUACGUAGUUCAGAUAUUUAGUUGGACAUACCAUGUUAUGUUUUCAAUUAAGACUUGACAGUAAGGUUCUUGUUUACCCUUCAUGUUUAUAUAUCAGUGAAAAGUGUUGUAUAUACAGAUGCUUAACCAGGG